RNAcentral lists this ribosomal RNA (200 nucleotides) under uncultured bacterium. Its description in RNAcentral is "partial 16S ribosomal RNA". It matches the Rfam family "Bacterial small subunit ribosomal RNA", at positions 328 to 539 of the family's 1533-position model. The record is from RNAcentral.
ACGCUCGACACCUACGGGAGGCAGCAGUGGGGAAUAUUGGGCAAUGGGCGAAAGCCUGACCCAGCAACGCCGCGUGAGGGAAGAAGGUUUUCGGAUUGUAAACCUCUGUCCUCAGGGACGAAGGACGUGACGGUACCUGAGGAGGAAGCCCCGGCUAACUACGUGCCACAGCCGCGGUAAUCUGAGCGGGCUGGCAAGGC